RNAcentral lists this ribosomal RNA (254 nucleotides) under uncultured bacterium. Its description in RNAcentral is "partial 16S ribosomal RNA". It matches the Rfam family "Bacterial small subunit ribosomal RNA", at positions 524 to 777 of the family's 1533-position model. The record is from RNAcentral.
GACGGAGGAUGCAAGUGUUAUCCGGAAUCACUGGGCGUAAAGCGUCUGUAGGUGGUUUAAUAAGUCAACUGUUAAAUCUUGAGGCUCAACCUCAAAAUCGCAGUCGAAACUAUUAGGCUAGAGUAUAGUAGGGGUAAAGGGAAUUUCCAGUGGAGCGGUGAAAUGCGUAGAGAUUGGAAAGAACACCGAUGGCGAAGGCACUUUACUGGGCUAUUACUAACACUCAGAGACGAAAGCUAGGGUAGCAAUAGGGA